This is a small nucleolar RNA of Betta splendens (Siamese fighting fish), 77 nucleotides long. Ensembl annotates it as small nucleolar RNA SNORD49. Its record names the gene SNORD49A. The record is from Ensembl. Lineage: Eukaryota; Metazoa; Chordata; Actinopteri; Anabantiformes; Osphronemidae.
UGAAAUGAUGAAAACUGGAAAUAGGAAGUGCCGUCUGAUGCGAAAACUGACGAUGUUCCUUGUUUGCUAUUCUGAUU